CCAUUUGGGGUCAGCUUUCGCUUACGGCCAUACCACUCUGAAAAAGCCUGAUCUCAUCUGACCUUGGAAGCAAAGCAGAGUUGGGCCUGGUUAGUACUUGGUUGGGAGACUGAAUGGGAAUACUAGGUGCUGUAAGCUUUUUAUUUGGAUCAGUUUUUCAUGGCCUCUGCACAACAUCCUGUUUUGGGAUAAAGGUUGGACACAGGUUUGAAGGGGACCCAAUCAAUCAAUCAAUCAAUCAAUCAAUCAGUCAGUCAGUCAGUCUUUUGAUUACACUAUUUAAAUAGCCCCCAUUUGGGGUCAGCUUUCGCUUACGGCCAUACCACUCUGAAAAAGCCUGAUCUCAUCUGACCUCGGAAGCAAAGCAGAGUUGGGCCUGGUUAGUACUAGGUUGGGAGACUGAAGGGGAAUACUAGGUGCUGUAAGCUUUUUACUUGGAUCAGUGUUUUCAUGGCCUCUGCACAACAUCCUGUUUUGGGAUAAAGGUUGGACACAGGUUUGAAGGGGACCCAAUCAAUCAAUCAAUCAAUCAGUCAGUCAGUCAGUCAGUCAGUCUUUUGAUUACACUAUUUAAAUAGGCCCCAUUUGGGGUCAGCUGUCGCUUACGGCCAUACCACUCUGAAAAAGCCUGAUCUCAUCUGACCUCGGAAGCAAAGCAGAGUUGGGCCUGGUUAGUACUUGGUUGGGAGACUGAAUGGGAAUACUAGGUGCUGUAAGCUUUUUAUUUGGAUCAGUUUUUCAUGGCCUCUGCACAACAUCCUGUUUUGGGAUAAAGGUUGGACACAGGUUUGAAGGGGACCCAAUCAACUAAUCAGUCAGUCAGUCAGUCAGUCAGUCAGUCAGUCUUUUGAUUACACUAUUUAAAUAGCCCCCAUUUGGGGUCAGCUUUCGCUUACGGCCAUACCACUCUGACAAAGCCUGAUCUCAUCUGACCUCGGAAGCAAAGCAGAGUUGGGCCUGGUUAGUACUUGGUUGGGAGACUGAAUGGGAAUACUAGGUGCUGUAAGCUUUUUAUUUGGAUCAGUUUUUCAUGGCCUCUGCACAACAUCCUGUUUUGGGAUAAAGGUUGGACACAGGUUUGAAGGGGACCCAAUCAAUCAAUCAAUCAAUCAGUCAGUCAGUCAGUCAGUCUUUUGAUUACACUAUUUAAAUAGCCCCCAUUUGGGGUCAGCUUUCGCUUACGGCCAUACCACUCUGAAAA
This is a long non-coding RNA of Ictalurus punctatus (channel catfish), 1201 nucleotides long. Lineage: Eukaryota; Metazoa; Chordata; Actinopteri; Siluriformes; Ictaluridae. The record is from Ensembl.